ACGCUGGCGGCGUGCCUAAUACAUGCAAGUAGAACGCUGAAGAGAGGAGCUUGCUCUUCUUGGAUGAGUUGCGAACGGGUGAGUAACGCGUAGGUAACCUGCCUGGUAGCGGGGGAUAACUAUUGGAAACGAUAGCUAAUACCGCAUGAAAUGGAUUAUCGCAUGAUAAUUCAUUGAAAGGUGCAAAUGCAUCACUACCAGAUGGACCUGCGUUGUAUUAGCUAGUUGGUGGGGUAACGGCUCACCAAGGCGACGAUACAUAGCCGACCUGAGAGGGUGAUCGGCCACACUGGGACUGAGACACGGCCCAGACUCCUACGGGAGGCAGCAGUAGGGAAUCUUCGGCAAUGGGGGCAACCCUGACCGAGCAACGCCGCGUGAGUGAAGAAGGUUUUCGGAUCGUAAAGCUCUGUUGUAAGUCAAGAACGAGUGUGAGAGUGGAAAGUUCACACUGUGACGGUAGCUUACCAGAAAGGGACGGCUAACUACGUGCCAGCAGCCGCGGUAAUACGUAGGUCCCGAGCGUUGUCCGGAUUUAUUGGGCGUAAAGCGAGCGCAGGCGGUUUGAUAAGUCUGAAGUUAAAGGCUGUGGCUCAACCAUAGUUCGCUUUGGAAACUGUCAAACUUGAGUGCAGAAGGGGAGAGUGGAAUUCCAUGUGUAGCGGUGAAAUGCGUAGAUAUAUGGAGGAACACCGGUGGCGAAAGCGGCUCUCUGGUCUGUAACUGACGCUGAGGCUCGAAAGCGUGGGGAGCGAACAGGAUUAGAUACCCUGGUAGUCCACGCCGUAAACGAUGAGUGCUAGGUGUUGGAUCCUUUCCGGGAUUCAGUGCCGCAGCUAACGCAUUAAGCACUCCGCCUGGGGAGUACGACCGCAAGGUUGAAACUCAAAGGAAUUGACGGGGGCCCGCAC
RNAcentral lists this ribosomal RNA (911 nucleotides) under uncultured bacterium. RNAcentral's name for it is "bacterial SSU rRNA". It matches the Rfam family "Bacterial small subunit ribosomal RNA", at positions 33 to 926 of the family's 1533-position model. The record is from RNAcentral.